UGAUCAAGAUGGAUUGUUUACAUGCA
RNAcentral lists this non-coding RNA (26 nucleotides) under Mus musculus (house mouse). The record is from RNAcentral. Lineage: Eukaryota; Metazoa; Chordata; Mammalia; Rodentia; Muridae.